GUAGAUAGGAAAAGUAAGGUGGAGCGUUUUGCCGGGGGUCACAGGAGGCGCUGAGGAACCCCAACAUUCCAAAACCUCGGCGAAUCUUGCGCUCGGCCUGGGGCAGCAACCCUUACUUCCGCGGCUCCUAUUCAUACACGCAGGUGGGCUCCAGCGGGGCGGAUGUGGAGAAGCUGGCCAAGCCCCUGCCGUACACGGAGAGCUCAAAGACAGCG
Molecule: small RNA, 215 nt
Filed under: Pan troglodytes (chimpanzee)
Lineage: Eukaryota; Metazoa; Chordata; Mammalia; Primates; Hominidae
Description: processed transcript
Source: RNAcentral